Molecule: ribosomal RNA, 403 nt
Filed under: uncultured bacterium
Lineage: Bacteria
Description: partial 16S ribosomal RNA
Rfam family: Bacterial small subunit ribosomal RNA
Source: RNAcentral
AUUGAACGCUGGCGGCAGGCCUAACACAUGCAAGUCGAGCGAGCGGCGGACGGGUGAGUAAUGUAUGGGGACUGCCCGAUAGAGGGGGAUAACUACUGGAAACGGUAGCUAAUACCGCAUACUAUCGGAUAACCCAUAUGGGAUUAGCUAGUAGGUUAGGUAAUGGCUCACCUAGGCGACGAUGCCUAGGUGGUCUGAGAGGCUGAUCAGCCACACUGGGACUGAGAUACGGCCCAGCCUCCUACGGAGGCAGCAGUGGGGAAGAUUGCACAGUGGGCGCAAGCCUGAGGCAGCGAUGCCGCGGGUAUGAAGAAGGCCUUCGGGUUGGAAAGUACUGUCAGCGGGGAGGCGUUACCCGCAGAAGAAGCACCGGCUAACUCCGUGCCAGCAGCCGCGGGAAUUC